CAUGAUUCACUCGCGAAGAUCACAUUUCCAAAUGGAGUGGUUCCUGAACUUUGCCAAAUGAGAAGUCGAACCUUCAGCCAUCUUGGUUCAAACUCGUGUUGUUUCUCAACACCUUAAAGGCUCCCGAAUCCCUGCUUGAAUGCUGAAUGGCCGGACAUUCCUCCAGGUGACCGCAAGGUCCAUAAGAGCAUCGGGAUUUCAGAUCCUAAGCAGGUCUGUGACUGACCCUUGAUCUGUGACCUUUGCCCCUGCUGCAUACACUCUGCUUGACUCUGAGAUGUGACCGCAGCCGAUGUCUACGCUGGUCCCCAUUAAACGCAGGCAGCCACAGUUUCUCUGUUCUUUUAAGAAGGUGACAGCCACUUCCAUCUCCCAGAAGUCCUCGGUGACAGCUACCAGACCCCUUGUGCUGGAAACACCUUCCAGCAUCCAGGAGAGAAUCAAUAAUUCACUGAAGUGGAAGCCACAGAGCCUGUUGGAUCCAAUUUUUCACCUUGUUGUUCUGAAACCCAGCUAAUAUUUUUUAUGUCCAAUGUGCACAAUUGAUAUCUGUCACAUUGAAAGACUAAAGCCUUUUGCAGGGUUAACCCCUUCAAUGCCCAGACAGAGAACUGGGAGCCACAAAUACCAGUUGAAAUGGGCACAAGGAACACGGCCAGGGGCAAAAAAGCUUUCAUGAUCAAACCACAGAUGGGUAAAAAGACAGAUUUAAAAAUUAUUUGCAAUCAUCAGGACUGAAAGACCUAUUUGCAUCCUGCUUUAAAAUUACAACUGAGGUUUAUGGCUCUUAUCUUUGUGGUAGCUUUGAAAACUUCUCUUGUAAUCACGAAUGCCGAAUUAGUGUUAAUCUGGCCUGCUGCCUGAAUUUCUGCUGCAGUGUCACUCAGAUGAAUUCCUUCACAAUCCCAGAUGUCUCUCAAGAUCACACCUGCCAUCCUGGGUGAUGUGCUGAUUGAGGGAAGUCUCUAGUGGAUCACAGCAUUAAUACAUAGGGUGAUUAUCCCCUUGUUUCUUCCUUUGAAUUGUGAUUGAUGAUAUAGAUAAGGAACAUGGCAACAUCUUGGAUACCCUCCCUUUAAUGUAGUUAAAGCAGUUGUUCCGUUGGUUAUAGUAACCUUCCAUAUGACACAGGCAGAGGUGAUGUGUAAAUUGGACAUUGUGGUCUGUUUAAAGUUAUAUCCAGUUAUUAAAAAUCUAUUUCUGUGUUUUCUGUAGAUGCGACAUUUAAAAU
Lepisosteus oculatus (spotted gar) is the source of this 1231-nucleotide long non-coding RNA. RefSeq lists it as uncharacterized. The record is from RefSeq and is a predicted model, not a curated record. Lineage: Eukaryota; Metazoa; Chordata; Actinopteri; Semionotiformes; Lepisosteidae.